This 484-nucleotide ribosomal RNA is filed under the name uncultured bacterium. RNAcentral's name for it is "partial 16S ribosomal RNA". It matches the Rfam family "Bacterial small subunit ribosomal RNA", at positions 29 to 507 of the family's 1533-position model. The record is from RNAcentral.
AUCGAACGCUGGCGGAAUGCUUUACACAUGCAAGUCGAACGGCAGCACGGGGGCAGCCCUGGUGGCGAGUGGCGAACGGGUGAGUAAUACAUCGGAACGUGCCCGGUCGUGGGGGAUAACGUAGCGAAAGUUACGCUAAUACCGCAUACGAUCUGAGGAUGAAAGCGGGGGACCUUCGGGCCUCGCGCGAUCGGAGCGGCCGAUGUCAGAUUAGGUAGUUGGUGGGGUAAAGGCCUACCAAGCCGACGAUCUGUAGCUGGUCGGAGAGGACGACCAGCCACACUGGAACUGAGACACGGCCCAGACUCCUACGGGAGGCAGCAGUGGGGAAUUUUGGACAAUGGGCGAAAGCCUGAUCCAGCCAUGCCGCGUGCGGGAAGAAGGCCUUCGGAUUGUAAAGUACUUUAAGGGGGAAGGAAGGGCAUUAAGCUAAUACCUGGCUGUAUUGACGUUACCAAAAGAAUAAGCACCGGCUAACUUCGUG